AACGAACGUUAGCGGCGCGCCUAACACAUGCAAGUCGAACGCGACAGGGGCAACUCUGUUGAGUGGCGCACGGGUGAGUAACACGUAGGUAAUCUCCCCCCGAGUGGUGGAUAACCUUCCGAAAGGAGGGCUAAUACAGCAUAAGACCACGGCUUCGAAAGGAGCUGAGGUCAAAGCGGAGGAUAGCAAGACUUCGCGCUUGGGGCUGAGCCUGCGGCCCAUCAGGUAGUUGGCGGGGUAACAGCCCACCAAGCCUAAGACGGGUAGCUGGUCUGAGGGGAUGAUCAGCCACACUGGAACUGAGACACGGUCCAGACUCCUACGGGAGGCAGCAGUGGGGAAUCUUGCGCAAUGGACGAAAGUCUGACGCAGCGACGCCGCGUGGGUGAUGAAGGCCUUCGGGUUGUAAAGCCCUGUGGGGAGGGACGAAUAAGUUUCAGCUAAUACCUGAAGCGAUGACGGUACCUCCUUAGCAAGCACCGGCUAACUCUGUGCCAGCCGCCGCAGUAA
Molecule: ribosomal RNA, 510 nt
Filed under: uncultured bacterium
Lineage: Bacteria
Description: partial 16S ribosomal RNA
Rfam family: Bacterial small subunit ribosomal RNA
Source: RNAcentral